Molecule: ribosomal RNA, 305 nt
Filed under: uncultured bacterium
Lineage: Bacteria
Description: bacterial SSU rRNA
Rfam family: Bacterial small subunit ribosomal RNA
Source: RNAcentral
UGCCUACGGGGCGCAGCAGUGAGGAAUAUUGGUCAAUGGGAGAGAUCCUGAACCAGCCAAGCCGCGUGAGGGAAGACGGCCCUAUGGGUUGUAAACCUCUUUAGGCGGGGAGCAAUGCCGGGCACGUGUGCCCGGAGGGAGAGUACCCGCAGAAUAAGCAUCGGCUAACUCCGUGCCAGCAGCCGCGGUAAUACGGAGGAUGCGAGCGUUAUCCGGAUUUAUUGGGUUUAAAGGGUGCGUAGGCGGAUUUUUAAGUCAGCGGUAAAAUGUCCGGGCUCAACCCGGGCCGGCCGUUGAAACUGGGG